ACUCCUACGGGAGGCAGCAGUGAGGAAUAUUGGUCAAUGGUCGCAAGACUGAACCAGCCAUGCCGCGUGCAGGAAGACGGUCCUAUGGAUUGUAAACUGCUUUUAUACAGGAAGAAACCCUCCCACGUGUGGGAGCUUGACGGUACUGUAGGAAUAAGGAUCGGCUAACUCCGUGCCAGCAGCCGCGGUAAUACGGAGGAUCCAAGCGUUAUCCGGAAUCAUUGGGUUUAAAGGGUCCGUAGGCGGCCUUAUAAGUCAGUGGUGAAAGCCCAUCGCUCAACGAUGGAACUGCCAUUGAUACUGUAAGGCUUGAAUUAUUGUGAAGUAACUAGAAUAUGUAGUGUAGCGGUGAAAUGCUUAGAUAUUACAUGGAAUACCAAUUGCGAAGGCAGGUUACUAACAAUGGAUUGACGCUGAUGGACGAAAGCGUGGGAGCGAACAGGAUUAGAUACCCCUGGUAGGAUAGCG
This 468-nucleotide ribosomal RNA is filed under the name uncultured bacterium. RNAcentral's name for it is "bacterial SSU rRNA". It matches the Rfam family "Bacterial small subunit ribosomal RNA", at positions 335 to 799 of the family's 1533-position model. The record is from RNAcentral.